GCCUGGUGUGGUGGUGCACACCUGUGGUCCCAGCUACUUGGGAGGCUGAGGCAGGAGGAUCACUUGAGCCAGGGAGAUCUAGGCUGCAGUGAGCAGUGAUGAUGCCACUGUACUCCAGCCUGGGUGACAGAGUGAGACCUUGUCUCAA
This 148-nucleotide signal recognition particle RNA is filed under the name Homo sapiens (human). RNAcentral's name for it is "Metazoan signal recognition particle RNA". It matches the Rfam family "Metazoan signal recognition particle RNA". Rfam says of the family: The signal recognition particle (SRP) is a universally conserved ribonucleoprotein. It is involved in the co-translational targeting of proteins to membranes. Lineage: Eukaryota; Metazoa; Chordata; Mammalia; Primates; Hominidae. The record is from Rfam by way of RNAcentral.